GUGGCCAGCCACCCGGCUCCACUGACUGGCGGUUUCGUGUCUGGCUCCCUGAGGUCCAGAUGGUCCCAACACGUCCCUGGGGGGUAAGCAGACUCCUGCCCAAACUUGAACUCACAGCUCCAGCCCCCAGAGGCUCCGAGCCAGGACCCCAAAGGAGGGAGAGCUGGCCCCAUGGACUGCCUCACCCUGGCUCUCCUGCCCUGUGGCUUCUGGUUGAAUUCAGCCAAUGGGAGGCACCAGCAGAUAAUCUGAAGAUGGGAGGAGAGAGAGGCACCUCCAGCAACCUUGCUAGACCACAGUGCGGUGGGAGGAAGUCCCAUGAAGAAAUAAAGAACAUGUGGUGAAUCACAGAGAAGUGGCUGAAAAGAUUCAAGCCUCAACCUUGGUCCUCCCUAGUCACAUGACCACAGGCAAACCUCUUCUCUCUCAGCCUCAGUUUUUGCAUCAGUGCAAUAGGAAUGGUAUCUGCCAUGCUAACCUCACAGGACUGCUGUGUGUUCAGAUGAAUCAGGUAUGUGAAAGACACUUCUGCAAGCGGGAAAGAGGUGUGCAAAGGCAAUUUGCUUUUACAGAACUUAUAUUACUGUCAUUUCCCAUCGUUAUUUUAAUGCUCAAAAGGUUUGGGAGACAUUUCUGUAACUGAGGUGUUCAUGGUAAGCCCACACUCACUCCUGCUUGGAAAAGGUUUUACAUAGACUGAGGAGACCUGAGGCAGUUGCUGAGCUGCUUAGAACAGAGUCUCUGGGUCACAGCCAUCCCAUUACUGGGCAUAUCCCCAAAGGAUUGUAAAUCAUGCUGCUAUAAAGACACAUGCACACGUAUGU
Long non-coding RNA from Homo sapiens (human), 824 nucleotides. RefSeq lists it as uncharacterized. The transcript is spliced from 3 exons. NCBI's taxonomy places the organism in Eukaryota, Metazoa, Chordata, Mammalia, Primates, Hominidae. The record is from RefSeq and is a predicted model, not a curated record.